Molecule: ribosomal RNA, 265 nt
Filed under: uncultured bacterium
Lineage: Bacteria
Description: partial 16S ribosomal RNA
Rfam family: Bacterial small subunit ribosomal RNA
Source: RNAcentral
GUCUUCCUACGGGGCGCAGCAGUGAGGAAUAUUGGUCAAUGGGAGAGAUCCUGAACCAGCCACGCCGCGUGAGGGAAGACGGCCCUAUGGGUUGUAAACCUCUUUUGUCGGAGAACAAAACCCGGGUCGUGUCCCGGACUGCGUGUAUCCGAAGAAAAAGCAUCGGCUAACUCCGUGCCAGCAGCCGCGGUAAUACGUAGGAUGCGAGCGUUAUCCGGAUUUAUUGGGUUUAAAUGGUGCGUAGGCGGUCCGUUAAGUCAGCGGU